This 253-nucleotide ribosomal RNA is filed under the name uncultured bacterium. RNAcentral describes it as "partial 16S ribosomal RNA". It matches the Rfam family "Bacterial small subunit ribosomal RNA", at positions 524 to 776 of the family's 1533-position model. The record is from RNAcentral.
UACAGAGGGUGCAAGCGUUAAUCGGAAUUACUGGGCGUAAAGCGUGCGUAGACGGUUAUGUAAGUCAGGUGUGAAAGCCCCGGGCUCAACCUGGGAAUGGCAUUUGAGACUGCAUAGCUAGGGUGCGGAAGAGGGAAGCGGAAUUUCCGGUGUAGCGGUGAAAUGCGUAGAUAUCGGGAGGAACACUGGUGGCGAAGGCGGAUCUCUGGGCCUUGCCUGACGCUGAGGCGCGAAAGCUAGGGGAGCGAACAGG